RNAcentral lists this ribosomal RNA (440 nucleotides) under uncultured bacterium. RNAcentral's name for it is "partial 16S ribosomal RNA". It matches the Rfam family "Bacterial small subunit ribosomal RNA", at positions 339 to 795 of the family's 1533-position model. The record is from RNAcentral.
CUACGGGGGGCACCAGUGGGGAAUUUUGCGCAAUGGGCGGAAGCCUGACGCAGCAACGCCGCGUGAGGGAUGAAGGUCUUCGGAUUGUAAACCUCUGUCAAGUGGGAAGAACCCUGACGGUACCACUGGAGGAAGCCCCGGCUAACUCCGUGCCAGCAGCCGCGGUAAGACGGAGGGGGCAAGCGUUGUUCGGAAUCAUUGGGCGUAAAGCGUAUGUAGGCGGCCGGAUAAGUCAGGCGUGCAAGCCCAUGGCUUAACCAUGGAAUUGCGUCUGAAACUAUCUGGCUUGAGGACAGGAGAGGAAAGCGGAAUUCCCAGUGUAGCGGUGAAAUGCGUUGAUAUUGGGAAGAACACCGGUGGCGAAGGCGGCUUUCUGGCCUGUUUCUGACGCUGAGAUACGAAAGCCAGGGGAGCGAACGGGAUUAGAUACCCUAGUAGUC